UUAUCUGUAACAAAAAUCCCUAGGAUAUUUUAGAGAGACACAGCUUUCAACAACUGGCUCAUUAGGGCAGGGCAUUUUGUCCUCCCUGUUCCAGAAUGUCGAGCAGAGGAAUUAAUUAGCAGAAAGCCUUUAAGUUUGAUGACUGUUUCUCCAGGAGCAACAGUGGGAAAAGUUAGGUCCCUAAUGUAUCAGAGUCUUUGUCAUGAAGGCUUCAGAUGGAGACUUUAACUCUUAUGAAGUGUGAGGAUUUAUGCUAAUUAAUUUGAAGAAAAGGAAAACAGAUGUUCCUUCAAGGUUAGAGCAGCAGAAAAAAUAUUUUGAAAAACUAACUGGUCCCUUUGAAAAAAGUGAAAUGUUUGCCAACCUUCAAUAGUAAGUAAAAGGAUCCCAGAGAAACCUGGCAGGAAAGAAUCCCCACGGUAGAUCCACAGGCUUCUCCUGGCUUGGGCUGAACACAAUGUCAAGGAUAUGCAAUGUCAGCUUCAUGGACAGAAAGACUCCUAAACUUCAGAGAGGCAAGCAGGACCAGGAUAGCCAGCUCACCGAGGACAUCAAACAAGCAGAUUCAAUGGCAAGAAAUCCAGCGGUCUGAGGUUUGUGCCAGGCACUUUUCCAGGACAACUGCUCCUGAUGAGCUGAGUGCUCUAACUGCUAGUCACGUUCUCUUUUCACUUGCUCAUGCCUGGAAGGAAAGGCUGCAGGCACCAUUAAUUAGGAGAGGAAUUUGGACUGCAGGAAAUGCUGUCUGAUGUUCUUACCUGAGGAAUCAAAUUUAAGAUACAUACACAGGAUUUGCA
Long non-coding RNA from Vidua chalybeata, 797 nucleotides. RefSeq lists it as uncharacterized. The transcript is spliced from 4 exons. NCBI's taxonomy places the organism in Eukaryota, Metazoa, Chordata, Aves, Passeriformes, Viduidae. The record is from RefSeq and is a predicted model, not a curated record.